UCCACCAUUUUCCCUCAAGAUAGAGCACAAACGUUUUAAGUAAAUGAACAGAAUGUCUGUAAUGGUGUUUCAAAAGUAAGGGAAUGUCCAUAUGAAACAAAAAUGGUUUGGCAAAUGGUGAUCCAAUUUCAGGGAAAAGGGGGAAACCUGUUGAGCCCUUCCACUAACAUGGUGACCAUCUUGGAUUCAACUCAACUUUUACAAACGGGAAGAGAAAUGACUCUAGGACAGAGUGGACUUGCACCUUUUUGGAAAUGUUUCUCUUCAUAAUGAAACAUCUAAACAAUGUUGAGUUCACAUUCACCAUGAAGACUAACAGUGGCUUUUGGACAAGGCUGAACCAGAUGUCAUCCCACCCCUGCUAGACGUGAUGGAAAGGGAACCAGUCUACACUAUCCAUUGGCUGCUGGACGCCCAGAGACGGAGGUGUCUUUUCCAGGGCUUGGUAGACUGGAAGGGAUAUUGCCAAGAGGAGCAGUGCUGGGUACCAGCAAAGGAUGUCCAGCCCUCAUAGCGGAAUUUCACAGUCAGCACCCAGACAAGCCUGCUCCUCGUCCUAGAGGCCACCUGAGAUAGGGCCUCUCCCUGCUCGUUUGAGUUGUCUGCAUAAACUGAUGGGGGGCCUACUGUCAUGCAUCCUCUGAGAUCUGAGAAUCCUCGUUGUAUUCGGACUUGACCUCCCAGAAUCCUCUGGGAGAUCACAUGACUUCCACGCAGCCAAAAAACAAUGAUACUCACCUGGACUCAAAUGACACAUCACAUUUUUUUGCUCUCCUAUCAGCGCUCUCGCUCUCUUGAAUACUAAUGUGUGUCACCUGUGUUGUAGACCAUAUGACAAACAUAGUUUAGUAUAUAAGCCCGGGCUUUAGGUUAGGGAAGUUGUGAGGUAUUGAAUCCAAUCUGUGAUCUACUGAGCAUCUAUUCUGGUAUAUGUUUCUCAGGUAUGACCUUUGCCCUUUUUGCCCAACCCUUCGGAUUGUUUACCUGGUUGCUGUUUUUCGGACUUUGACGAUCUGCUUGUAUGUCUGACUACAUUUUUGCCUUUCCCUUUUCGGACUAUUCGCCUGGUGGUGUGAUUGUGAUUUUGUCUUUCUUAUGCUUUCUCGAACUGACCCAUGCCUGUUUUGUGACAAUGACCUUGGAUUGUGAUUCUAUAAGUAAAGCCUCGUUUGUCUUUUA
Pygocentrus nattereri (red-bellied piranha) is the source of this 1179-nucleotide long non-coding RNA. RefSeq lists it as uncharacterized. NCBI's taxonomy places the organism in Eukaryota, Metazoa, Chordata, Actinopteri, Characiformes, Serrasalmidae. The transcript is spliced from 3 exons. The record is from RefSeq and is a predicted model, not a curated record.